RNAcentral lists this ribosomal RNA (442 nucleotides) under uncultured bacterium. RNAcentral describes it as "partial 16S ribosomal RNA". It matches the Rfam family "Bacterial small subunit ribosomal RNA", at positions 338 to 795 of the family's 1533-position model. The record is from RNAcentral.
CCUACGGGAGGCAGCAGUGGGGGAUAUUGCACAAUGGGGGAAACCCUGAUGCAGCGACGCCGCGUGGGCGAAGUAGUAUUUCGGUAUGUAAAGCCCUAUCAGCAGGGAAGAAGAAAUGACGGUACCUGAGUAAGAAGCACCGGCUAAAUACGUGCCAGCAGCCGCGGUAAUACGUAUGGUGCAAGCGUUAUCCGGAUUUACUGGGUGUAAAGGGAGCGCAGGCGGCACGGCAGGCCUGAUGUGAAAGCCCACGGCCCAACCCGGGGACUGCAUUUGGAACUACCGGGCUGGAGUGCCGGAGGUGGAGGCGGAAUGCCUUGUGUAGCGGUGAAAUGCGUAGAUAUUAGGAGGAACACCAGUGGGGAAGGCGGCCUACUGGCCGGGGACUGACGCGGAGGCUCGAAGGCGUGGGGAGCGAACAGGAUUAGAUACCUGGGUAGUC